AGAACGAACGCUGGCGGCAUGCCUAACACAUGCAAGUCGAACGUGAUCCAGGCUUCGGCCUGGUGAAAGUGGCAGACGGGUGAGUAACGCGUGGGAACCUGCCCUGUGGUAGGGAAUAACCGUGGGAAACUGCGGCUAAUACCCUAUGAGUCCUUCGGGAGAAAGAUUUAUCGCCAUAGGAGGGGCCCGCGUCGGAUUAGGUAGUUGGUGGGGUAACGGCCUACCAAGCCUUCGAUCCGUAGCUGGUCUGAGAGGAUGAUCAGCCACACUGGGACUGAGAUACGGCCCAGACUCCUACGGGAGGCAGCAGUGGGGAAUAUUGGACAAUGGGGGCAACCCUGAUCCAGCAAUGCCGCGUGGAUGAUGAAGGCCUUCGGGUUGUAAACCUCUUUCAGCAGGGACGAAGCGAAAGUGACGGUACCUGCAGAAGAAGCACCGGCCAACUACGUGCCGAGCAGCCGC
Molecule: ribosomal RNA, 462 nt
Filed under: uncultured bacterium
Lineage: Bacteria
Description: SSU rRNA
Rfam family: Bacterial small subunit ribosomal RNA
Source: RNAcentral